AUUAUCAAAAAAUUCUAGUAGUUUAGUGGUUGGAGUAUUAGUUUCCAACUCUAAAGUACUGAGUUCGAAUCUUAUUGAUAACA
This is a non-coding RNA of Sphenostylis stenocarpa, 83 nucleotides long. Lineage: Eukaryota; Viridiplantae; Streptophyta; Magnoliopsida; Fabales; Fabaceae. The record is from the annotation of a GenBank genome assembly.